Molecule: ribosomal RNA, 492 nt
Filed under: uncultured bacterium
Lineage: Bacteria
Description: partial 16S ribosomal RNA
Rfam family: Bacterial small subunit ribosomal RNA
Source: RNAcentral
AGUGGACGCUGGCGGUAGGCCUAACACAUGCAAGUCGAACGGCGGCACAGUAAGAGCUUGCUCUUACGGGUGGCGAGUGGCGGACGGGUGAGGAAUACAUCGGAAUCUACUUUUUCGUGGGGGAUAACGUAGGGAAACUUACGCUAAUACCGCAUACGACCUACGGGUGAAAGCAGGGGAUCUUCGGACCUUGCGCGAUUGAAUGAGCCGAUGUCGGAUUAGCUAGUUGGCGGGGUAAAGGCCCACCAAGGCGACGAUCCGUAGCUGGUCUGAGAGGAUGAUCAGCCACACUGGAACUGAGACACGGUCCAGACUCCUACGGGAGGCAGCAGUGGGGAAUAUUGGACAAUGGGCGCAAGCCUGAUCCAGCCAUACCGCGUGGGUGAAGAAGGCCUUCGGGUUGUAAAGCCCUUUUGUUGGGAAAGAAAAGCAGCAGGUUAAUACCCCGCUGUUCUGACGGUACCCAAAGAAUAAGCACCGGCUAACUUCGUG